This 460-nucleotide ribosomal RNA is filed under the name uncultured bacterium. Its description in RNAcentral is "partial 16S ribosomal RNA". It matches the Rfam family "Bacterial small subunit ribosomal RNA", at positions 338 to 795 of the family's 1533-position model. The record is from RNAcentral.
CCUACGGGUGGCAGCAGUGAGGAAUAUUGGUCAAUGGGCGAGAGCCUGAACCAGCCAAGUCGCGUGAAGGAUGAAGGAUCUAUGGUUUGUAAACUUCUUUUAUAUGGGAAUAAAGUGAGGAACGUGUUCCUUUUUGUAUGUACCAUAUGAAUAAGCAUCGGCUAACUCCGUGCCAGCAGCCGCGGUAAUACGGAGGAUGCGAGCGUUAUCCGGAUUUACUGGGUGUAAAGGGCGUGCAGCCGGGAAGUCAAGUCAGAUGUGAAAGCCCGCGGCUCAACCGCGGAAUUGCAGUUGAAACUGUUUGUCUUGAGUACCGGAGAGGUCAUCGGAAUGCGUGGUGUAGCGGUGAAAUGCGUAGAUAUAAGGAAGAACACCAGUGGCGAAGGCAGAUGACUGGACGGCAACUGACGGUGAGGCGCGAAAGCGUGGGGAGCAAACAGGAUUAGAUACCCUAGUAGUC